UACAGAGGUCCCAAGCGUUGUUCGGAUUCACUGGGCGUAAAGCGCGUGUAGGCGGCUAAGUAAGUCGGGCGUGAAAUCCCACGGCUCAACCGUGGAAGUGCACUCGAAACUGCAUAGCUAGAGUCCUGGAGAGGAAGGUGGAAUGCUUGGUGUAGAGGUGAAAUUCGUAGAUAUCAAGCGGAACACCGGUGGCGAAGGCGGCCUUCUGGACAGUGACUGACGCUGAGACGCGAAAGCGUGGGGAGCAAACAGG
Molecule: ribosomal RNA, 253 nt
Filed under: uncultured bacterium
Lineage: Bacteria
Description: partial 16S ribosomal RNA
Rfam family: Bacterial small subunit ribosomal RNA
Source: RNAcentral